Molecule: ribosomal RNA, 271 nt
Filed under: uncultured bacterium
Lineage: Bacteria
Description: partial 16S ribosomal RNA
Rfam family: Bacterial small subunit ribosomal RNA
Source: RNAcentral
AUUGAACGCUGGCGGCAUGCCUUACACAUGCAAGUCGAACGGCAGCACGGGAGCAAUCCUGGUGGCGAGUGGCGAACGGGUGAGUAAUAUAUCGGAACGUGCCAGUCGUGGGGAUAACGUAGCGAAAGCUACGCUAAUACCGCAUACCGAUCGUAUGGAGUGAAGCGGGGAUCGCAAGACCUCGCGCGAUUGGAGCGGCCGAUAUCAGAUUAGGUAGUUGGUAGAGGUAAAGGCUCACCAAGCCGACGAUCUGGUAGCUGGUCUGAGAGGA